ACACACAACUGGCAGAGAGGAGAAGGGAAAUGUGUGCGAGAAAGCCCUGCAGUGGGACUGAGCAAAGUGCUCAUUCGAAAACAGCCUGCCUUGGAGAAGAAACCAGAGAGAAGGUUUGAGAAGGUUUCAAAGGUGGGAAGCAGGUGUUUGAGGGUGGUGGGAAUGUUAGGCUAAGGGCUACAUUUGUUUUUUCAGACAGGGUCUCACUCUGUUCAUCCAGGCUGGAGUGCCAUAGUGCAAACAUAGCUCACUGUAACUGUGAGCUCCUAGGCUCAAGCGAUCCUCCUGCCUCAGCCUCCCAGCUAGGACUACAGGUGCACACCACCAUGCCUGGCUAAUUUUUGAAAAUUUUUUGUAGAGACAGGAUCUUGCUAUGUUGACUAGGCUGGUGUCAAACUCCUGGCCUCAAGCAAUCCUCCCGCCUCCGCUUCCCAAAGUGCUGUGAUUGAUUACACACGCUGCACCUGGCCAAGGCUACCUUUUUAACGCAGAAAACUAAGAAGCCUCUUCAGGUUUCUGAAUAAAGAACGAGAAGGCAAUGAUGAUGAAAACUGGAAACAAGCAGGUGGCCAUUACCGCAAUUAAGGCUAAAAUCUAGGUUAAGAAAGGGGAGAGAGAACUGCAAAUGAAAAGGGCAAAGAUGCAGUGAGGAUGAGAAGUUACAAAAGCUAAAAAGAAGGAAGUAAUACUAAGAGGUGUUACAGAGUCCAGCUCAAAGGACAGAAAAAAGGAGGAACUUCAGAUAACAAUUUUUAAAAUACUUAUUAACAGCCAAUUAUGAGUCAGGUACUUUACAAGGUGUUCAAUGGACAUUAUCUAUUUUACUUAUUUUUAUUUUAUCUUUUUGGUUUACUUUUUUUCUUUUUUUUUCAUUUUACAUUAUCUAUUUUAAUCCUCACAAUAUCCCUGUAAGGUAGGUAUAUUACCUUCAGUUUCCAGAUCAAGAAACUGAAGUGCACAGAAGUUUGAAGUAACUUACUCAAACCACUUCACUAAUAACCAGGGUAGGCAGGACUCAAAUACAGACAGUUUGCCUCCAAAAUACAUGGUCCUAAUCACCUCCCUAUGUUGUGUCCAUGCAGUCACGAGUUUGGCAUGAGGAGAGCUGGAGGAAGAGCCCAGGAGACAGUGAAGAGGAAGCAAGAGGCUGUAUAUGUAGCCAGCUGGGUUUGGGGGCACCUCAUGAGUAUCCCAUAGCACAAACGGGCAAACUCUGUUACUGGCACAUUAACUAAAAGACAAAACUCCACAUAAACCUGAGUCCUUCCAACCAACCCGGAGACUUACCCAAAUCUAAUCUAAAUAACAACAACAAAAAAGAAAAAAUCACUAUGAGCCUGUAAGUCAUUAAGGGGGUACAUCUUCAAAUGACAUGCUAUCACUAACCAUGGCUUAAAACCCCACAGAUCCCUAAAACUUAAAGUAUAAUAAUAAAUAAAAAUAAAAAAAUUUAAAAAUUAAAAAAAAAUUUUACAUUUAUCUUUAAGAAUUUGUGUUUGAGAAUAAUUAGCUCUUGCCAUUCUACUACUCUGUAUGUAUGUGGGUUAUCAUUCUUGUGUCUUUCUUCUGCUUGAGUAAAUAAAAAGCAAGAACAACAACAAAAAACCCCACAGAGGAGAAGACUUAGCAAUUGUAGUGAAUAUGGGCUGAAUUCAAAAAGUGGCCUGGAGAUUUUGCCUUGAAUUACUUGGGUGGGAUAAGGAUGAUGGCUCUAAUAGAACCAAGCAAAUGAAAUACUGAUAAGUAUUUGCAGAUAUUACAAAUAAAUUAUAAUAUGUAUUUUGUGUGUAUGUGUUUAACCAAGUUGCAAAGUAGUUAAAGUUCUUUUGUAUGAAUGAAAGUGGCAGGAUGACCCCAAUAUCUUCCAUGAAAGGAAAAAAUAAGUUGGGAGCAAAGUUAUUCAUAUUCUCUAUUCUCUUCUCUUUUCUACUAAACUUUGUCUCCUAAAGCCCACACAUUGUCAUGACUUAAGAAAAUCAUGUUCUCUUCUAGGUAGAUUUUGAUAUCUGAUUUUUAGCUGAAAUUAGAGCCAAUGUCUCUGGAAGUGACGUGCAAUGGGAACAUUAACCGUAAUUUAUUUUUUUUAUUUUUAUUUUUUUUGAGACAAAGUCUCACUCUGUUGCCAAGGCUGGAGUGCAAUGGCGUGGUCUCGGCUCACUGCAACCUCCACAUCCCAGGUUCAAGAGAUUCUCCUGCCUCAGCCUCCCAAGUAGCUGGGAUUACAGGUGCCCGCCACCAUGCCCGACUAAUUUUUAUAUUUUUAGUAGAGACGUGUUGGCCAGGCUAUCGCAAACUCCAGCAACCUCAGGUGAUCCCCCCAUCUCGGCCUCCCAAAGUGCUGGGAUUACAGGCGUAAGCCACCAUGCCCAGCCAAUUGUUAUUUUUUAAAGAGACAAAAACAAUGAUUUGCUGAAUGUUUUUUAGAAGUACAAUGGGAGGGUGUGUGUUAACUUGUGGGGGUUUGUUUGUGAUUUUUUUUUUUUUUUUUGAGAUAGAGUUUCACUCUGUUACCCAGGCUGGAGUGCAGUGGCGCGAUCUUGGCUCACUGCAACCUCCGCCUCCUGGAUUCAAGCAAUUCUCCUGCCUCAGCUUCCCAAGUAGCUGGGACUACAGGCAUGUGCCACUACGCCCAGCUAAUUUUUGUAUUUUUAGUAGAGGUGGGGUUUCACUAUAUGUUGGCCAGGCUGGUCUCGAACUCCUGACCUCAGGUGAUCUGCCAGCCUCGGCCUCCCAAAGUGCUGGGAUUACAGGCGUGAGCUACCUGGCCAUUUGUUUGUGAUUACUUUAAUAUGAACUAAGUCAUUUAUCUUCAGAUGUUUCACAGAAUGAAUCCUAAUUGAAGAUGAAACCCUCAGCAACCUGGAAAUCUUGAAAAAAAGACACAGGGUCCCACCAUGUUGUCCAGGCUAACCUCAAACUCCUGGAUUCGAGUGAUCCUCCCGUCUCAGCCUCCCGAGUAGCUGGGAUUACAGGCGUGUGCCACCAUACCUGACUCAUCUUAUUGUUUGUAAUGGUGAAACUGAGAUGGAACUAUAAUUAUGAAGAAUGAGUCUGAUUCUUUUGUGGAAUAAGGAUUGCUUUUAUUUAUAGAUACGUAUCAAUGACUUCUUACUAAAUUAUAAAAAGAUAUUUAUAUAAUUCAUUCAGUUUAGUUUCAGCAUGCUGUAUAAAACAUACACAACUGAAUAUUUACUCUGCCCUAUAAUUAAACAUCAUAAUCUUUAA
RNAcentral lists this long non-coding RNA (3225 nucleotides) under Homo sapiens (human). RNAcentral describes it as "HSALNT0366816". Lineage: Eukaryota; Metazoa; Chordata; Mammalia; Primates; Hominidae. The record is from RNAcentral.